UACGGAGGAUGCAAGCGUUAUCCGGAAUGAUUGGGCGUAAAGCGUCCGCAGGUGGCAUUUCAAGUCUGCGGUCAAAGGUCGAGGCUCAACCUCGAACAGGCCGUGGAAACUGAAAAGCUAGAGUGUGGUAGGGGCAGAGGGAAUUUCCGGUGGAGCGGUGAAAUGCGUUGAGAUCGGGAAGAACACCAACAGGCGAAAGCACUCUGCUGGGCCGUCACUGACACUCAGAGACGAAAGCUAGGGGAGCGAAUGGG
RNAcentral lists this ribosomal RNA (254 nucleotides) under uncultured bacterium. RNAcentral's name for it is "partial 16S ribosomal RNA". It matches the Rfam family "Bacterial small subunit ribosomal RNA", at positions 524 to 776 of the family's 1533-position model. The record is from RNAcentral.